UACAGAGGGUGCGAGCGUUAAUCGGAAUUACUGGGCGUAAAGGGUGCGUAGGCGGUUCGAUAAGUUAGGUGUGAAAGUCCUGGGCUUAACCUGGGGAUUGCGCCUAAUACUGUUGAGCUAGAGUACUGUAGAGGAAGGUAGAAUUUCCAGUGUAGCGGUGAAAUGCGUAGAUAUUGGAAGGAAUACCAGUGGCGAAGGCGACCUGCUGGACAGAUACUGACACUGAGGCACGAAAGCGUGGGGAGCGAACAGG
This 253-nucleotide ribosomal RNA is filed under the name uncultured bacterium. Its description in RNAcentral is "partial 16S ribosomal RNA". It matches the Rfam family "Bacterial small subunit ribosomal RNA", at positions 524 to 776 of the family's 1533-position model. The record is from RNAcentral.